Molecule: ribosomal RNA, 477 nt
Filed under: uncultured bacterium
Lineage: Bacteria
Description: SSU rRNA
Rfam family: Bacterial small subunit ribosomal RNA
Source: RNAcentral
AGGACGAACGCUGGCGGCGUGCUUAACACAUGCAAGUCGAACGGAAAGGCCCCUUCGGGGGUACUCGAGUGGCGAACGGGUGAGUAACACGUGGGUGAUCUGCCCUGCACUUCGGGAUAAGCCUGGGAAACUGGGUCUAAUACCGGAUAUGACCAUGGGAUGCAUGUCUUGUGGUGGAAAGCUUUUGCGGUGUGGGAUGGGCCCGCGGCCUAUCAGCUUGUUGGUGGGGUUAAGGCCUACCAAGGCGACGACGGGUAGCCGGCCUGAGAGGGUGACCGGCCACACUGGGACUGAGAUACGGCCCAGACUCCUACGGGAGGCAGCAGUGGGGAAUAUUGCACAAUGGGCGCAAGCCUGAUGCAGCGACGCCGCGUGAGGGACGACGGCCUUCGGGUUGUAAACCUCUUUCAGCACAGACGAAGCGCAAGUGACGGUAUGUGCAGAAGAAGGACCGGCCAACUACGCGCCAGCAGCCGC